UACGUAGGGUGCAAGCGUUGUCCGGAAUUAUUGGGCGUAAAGAGCUCGUAGGCGGUCUGUCGCGUCUGCUGUGAAAACUCAGGGCUUAACCCUGAGCUUGCAGUGGGUACGGGCAGACUAGAGUGCGGUAGGGGGAGACUGGAAUUCCUGGUGUAGCGGUGAAAUGCGCAGAUAUCAGGAGGGAACACCGGUGGGCGAAGGCGGGUCUCUGGGCCGUAACUGACGCUGGAGGAGCGAAAGCAUGGGGAGCGAACAGG
RNAcentral lists this ribosomal RNA (257 nucleotides) under uncultured bacterium. RNAcentral's name for it is "partial 16S ribosomal RNA". It matches the Rfam family "Bacterial small subunit ribosomal RNA", at positions 524 to 776 of the family's 1533-position model. The record is from RNAcentral.